GGUCUCACUCUGUCACCCAGGCUGGAGUGCAGUGGCGCAGUCAUGGCUCCCUGUAACCUCAACCUCUCAGACUCCAGCAAUCCUCCUGCGACAGGGAGGCAGUCAAUGGUGAAUGCUGGCCUCGCUGAUUACUCACCUGGAGACCUUUCUGAGGAUCAGUUUUCUCAUCUAGAAAAUGGGACAACUGCCAGACCACUGAAGAAAAUACAGAAAACAGCCCCACACAUCAGCAUGUUUGGUUGCUGCCAGUCUACUUGGAUCUGAGUAUUUUUUCUUGCCAUGAAUGUGACGUGAUUAUCUUCUCCUACAUCACACUGAAGUUUUAUGAAUGA
This 332-nucleotide long non-coding RNA is filed under the name Homo sapiens (human). RNAcentral's name for it is "non-protein coding lnc-SLC38A8-2:4". Lineage: Eukaryota; Metazoa; Chordata; Mammalia; Primates; Hominidae. The record is from RNAcentral.